Long non-coding RNA from Lolium rigidum, 319 nucleotides. RefSeq lists it as uncharacterized. The transcript has 3 exons. The record is from RefSeq and is a predicted model, not a curated record. NCBI's taxonomy places the organism in Eukaryota, Viridiplantae, Streptophyta, Magnoliopsida, Poales, Poaceae.
GUGAUGCCCAAUAAUAUUGGGCUUUGUGGCCUUGCAACAAGGCACCUGAGCACAUCUCCAUGUCCUCAUGCUGCUGCUGCAAAAAUAAGCUGCCCCAGAACUGGUAUGCCCUCAAUAAAUAUAAACCACAUUAAGUCAGCAUCUGUCAACUCGUCUAGAGGGGCCCUGCGAACUUAUUCAUCCAGGGCAACCGUCGAAGGCGAACUAUCACAGGCAGCACAAAUGGCAGCGUCAGGAGCUAGCUAUCGGAACUUUUUGAAGGGUGUUAGGCUCUCUGCCUGUGCUUUGAGCUUGGUAUGGGCCAUCACUAUUUACUCUG